Molecule: ribosomal RNA, 429 nt
Filed under: Gemmatimonadota bacterium
Lineage: Bacteria; Pseudomonadati; Gemmatimonadota
Description: Gemmatimonadetes bacterium partial 16S ribosomal RNA
Rfam family: Bacterial small subunit ribosomal RNA
Source: RNAcentral
UAGGGAAUCUUCGGCAAUGGACGAAAGUCUGACCGAGCAACGCCGCGCGAGUGAAGAAGGUUUUCGGAUCGUAAAACUCUGUUGUUAGAGAAGAACAAGGACGUUAGUAACUGAACGUCCCCUGACGGUAUCUAACCAGAAAGCCACGGCUAACUACGUGCCAGCAGCCGCGGUAAUACGUAGGUGGCAAGCGUUUUCCGGAUUUAUUGGGCGUAAAGCGAGCGCAGGCGGUUUCUUAAGUCUGAUGUGAAAGCCCCCGGCUCAACCGGGGAGGGUCAUUGGAAACUGGGAGACUUGAGUGCAGAAGAGGAGAGUGGAAUUCCAUGUGUAGCGGUGAAAUGCGUAGAUAUAUGGAGGAACACCAGUGGCGAAGGCGGCUCUCUGGUCUGUAACUGGCGCUGAGGCUCGAAAGCGUGGGGAGCAAACAGG